Molecule: long non-coding RNA, 1381 nt
Filed under: Helianthus annuus (common sunflower)
Lineage: Eukaryota; Viridiplantae; Streptophyta; Magnoliopsida; Asterales; Asteraceae
Source: RNAcentral
UUUUAAGACAUCAAAGGGGUAUAAUCGGUAAUUUUCCAUCUUCUAGAACCCUAAUACUAAAUAGUGUUGGUGCAGUUGUCUGUCGACUACAUCUUCGUUCGAGUCCUAGAGUCUCAGAAUAGGAAUGCCUUCAAUUCAUUUAAUUCACUGGAAAACCAUACGAUCCAUCAUAAAUUCCUCAUCAAUAGCACCUUAGUACAUACGAUUGAAGAGUCCCAAACCACCGCCACCCUCCUUUCCGGUUUUGUCUCCUCAAUUUGUUCCCCCCAUCACCGCGUCUCGAAUAGUCGCCACCGGUGCUGUGCUACACAUCCACCGCUGCCUGGUCUUUGCCUCUGCUCGUUGGUGUCGCAAACAGGCCAUCUCAAGUAUUCAUUGGCAUCCGAUUUGUUCUUCUUGGUUACGAUCCUCUAAAAAACUCACAGGUUUCACUGAAGUUUGUUAACGGCGGAGCUGUUAAUGUCGGUAAAUACGGUCCGAAUUGCACUCAUGUUAUUCAUGAUAAGCUUGUUUGGGUUUUAAAAUUUUCAUAUGUGGUACCAAAUAAUUGGGUUUCUGCAUGUUCAGGUCUCCUCUGUUUUAUAUCAAAAACCCAUUUUCUGUUUUAAUUCCCAUGUCUAUUAAUCUUUGUACUCAAAUUGUACCAUAAAGAACAGAUUUGUGAUUUUAAUCGAUAUAUAUGGCGAAAAAGUAAGAAGCGAUCAAAAUCAAUUUAUUCUUCGAUCACCAUCUAUUAAGAGGAAACGAACGGACGAAUGAACAGAGCAAACACGCAUAUUCGGUUGCGUAUGCGACCGUUGUGGCGGCAGAAGUAGCGGUGGCAGCCGCCCAUGCUGCCGUUGAAGUCGUUCGCUUGACGUCCAUUGCGCAUCUGUCGAGUAAAUCCGCAGAAGAAAUGGUUGCUACCAAGAUUCAAACAGCUUAUCGCAGGCACUUGGCGAGCAGGGCGUUGCGUGCUCUUAGAGGGCUUGGGCGGUUGAGAUCGGUGAUUCUAGGUCAAUCAGUCAAACGCCAAACAACGUCGGCGUUGAAAUGUAUGCAAACAUUGGCUCGUGUACAGUCUCAGAUUCGGUCAAGGCGUGUGCGUAGAAAGUCUAAAGAAGAAACGGAAGCCAGUUUAUAAAGGAAACAGGGGGCUCAUACCCAAAGUACACGACUGCUGCUCAUACGCCUAUAAGAAUCACGAGUGUGAAUACUACACAAAGUGUACAGCAUAGGCACCGCCGACACCAGUUUUUCUUUUUUGGUGGUUUGGAGUACUGGAUUGGGAUGGUGCGCUGGAAAGUCCUUUGCAAUCAGAUCCUAAGGCUGAAGAAGUGGCAGGGUAUGUGCAUUGGCUGCUAAUUUGUUGCAUAUUGUUACUAAAGGUGCAAAAUAUCCG